ACGAACGCUGGCGGCGUGCUUAACACAUGCAAGUCGAACGGAAAGGCCCUUCGGGGUACUCGAGUGGCGAACGGGUGAGUAACACGUGGGUGAUCUGCCCUGCACUUUGGGAUAAGCCUGGGAAACUGGGUCUAAUACCGAAUAGGACCGCGCGCUUCAUGGUGUGUGGUGGAAAGCUUUUGCGGUGUGGGAUGGGCCCGCGGCCUAUCAGCUUGUUGGUGGGGUAAUGGCCUACCAAGGCGACGACGGGUAGCCGGCCUGAGAGGGUGACCGGCCACACUGGGACUGAGAUACGGCCCAGACUCCUACGGGAGGCAGCAGUGGGGAAUAUUGCACAAUGGGCGCAAGCCUGAUGCAGCGACGCCGCGUGAGGGAUGACGGCCUUCGGGUUGUAAACCUCUUUCACCAGGGACGAAGCGCAAGUGACGGUACCUGGAGAAGAAGCACCGGCCAACUACGUG
RNAcentral lists this ribosomal RNA (461 nucleotides) under uncultured bacterium. RNAcentral describes it as "partial 16S ribosomal RNA". It matches the Rfam family "Bacterial small subunit ribosomal RNA", at positions 29 to 507 of the family's 1533-position model. The record is from RNAcentral.